This is a non-coding RNA of Chlorocebus sabaeus (green monkey), 978 nucleotides long. Lineage: Eukaryota; Metazoa; Chordata; Mammalia; Primates; Cercopithecidae. The record is from RefSeq and is a predicted model, not a curated record.
UUUACCUCCACAGCAAAGGUAUGUUUUAGUGUACGUGGUGCCAAACAGGUAGUACUUUGUGAGUUCCUGCUCCUCACCACAAGGUGGUGCUAGUGUAUCCAAUAAGACAGUUUACUCAGCGACUGAAUCAAAAAUCCUCUUCCUUUCAGCCCUAAUUUAUGACCAGGAUUUACAACCCGUUUCCGUAACUUUACCUUUCCUAAGCCAUCAAUUCUGUUUCUCUUUUAAAGAUUCUCUUCUUAUGAAACUUUUUUUUUUGAGGGUUAAGUUGGCUUAGUGACAAAUUCAUGCCUACAUUUUGAAUUAUUGACUGUGGAUAUCCUCAGGGCUGGACUCUUCAUUCCUGCCUUGUGUGACCCAGGGAUGGAGGACUAUACUUCCAACUCAUUAUCCUCUUUGCCCAGGAGCUGUGUGAGACAGAUGGUCAUGCAGUGGAGAAUAAACAAGGACCCUUUAAUCCAGCUGGUGCUCUGCUUGUCUCACUUGUGGUGUUGGAUGCAUUCGGCUAACAGUGGGAAUCCAGGGGACUGUGUGGUAAGGAUGAGUGGGGUCAUAUACUGGGCUGCCUUUUUUCCCAGUACAUAGUGGAAUGGCCAUGCAAGUUGUUAAAACACUAAAAUAUUUUUGCACUCGUUGAUAAAUAGCAACUGGUUAGGUCCCCUUAACACUAAGCUGUUCCCGUCACCCACCACCCUGGAUUCCUGUGUCCCAGCUCUGGGGUAUUUGGACCUGCCUUCCCACAUCCAGUUGGAUUGAUACCUGGUACAAAAAGAAGCCUUAGGACUUCUGUUACUGCUUUUUAAAACCACUUGUAUCUAUUUGUUUUUAUCCUAUAUGCAACCCAACUAAUUCUUAUAUAUAUUAGAAUAGUAGUUGUUUUAGUCCACUUUGCAUUCCCAUAAAGGAAUACCUGAGACUGGGUAAUUUAUAAAGAAAAGAGGUUUGUUUGGUUCACAGUUCUGGAGGCUGUACAAGCAU